Molecule: non-coding RNA, 622 nt
Organism: Lolium perenne
Lineage: Eukaryota; Viridiplantae; Streptophyta; Magnoliopsida; Poales; Poaceae
Source: RefSeq, a predicted model, not a curated record
AUUAGUCUGCAAGAAGCUUCUCGGAGAGGUGGCCGGGUUUCGAAAACCGUGGAGUUUUUGUAAUCACGUGCACUCCUGUACAAGAGCACGAUGGAGAAGCUGUCAGCUCUAAGAGCAAGGGUUGAAUCAGCGGUAGCCCUGAAGCCAAGGCGAAGGGCUGAGGCGACAUGGCGUGGAGUGGAGUUCCGCUGGACUCCAAACAUGUGACAUAUAUGAGUAUUUCAGAAGCACGGCGAUCUCCAUUCCUAGGACCUUGGCAGGCAAUCCCUACCCCUUUCAAUCAGUCACGCAGACAAGACGACGAAGCGCCGUGAUCUUCAUUCCUAGCCUUCGUGCAGGCACCGGACAUCCUGGAGCAGUCGACCAGGUGAUGGCUAUGGCAUAUGGGCCAAAAAGGGUUCAGAUAGUAAUAGCUGAUGGGCAGCGGACGACACAAUUGAAUCUGCUCUUGGGUUCUAUUCGAAGAUGGUGGUGCUCCCUUGCAGGUAAUGAGGCUUAGGCUGAUGCUCUACACCCUUAUUUGAUUAUUUCAGUAAUUGGUGGAGUGACCAGUAGUGCAGGUACCCCUUUAGUUAUAUUCAUCAAUAUCAUAAUACACAAGAUGAAGAACUGGGGUUCUCUA